This 1802-nucleotide ribosomal RNA is filed under the name Pseudomonas aeruginosa. Its description in RNAcentral is "partial 23S ribosomal RNA". It matches the Rfam family "Bacterial large subunit ribosomal RNA", at positions 1141 to 2925 of the family's 2925-position model. The record is from RNAcentral. Lineage: Bacteria; Pseudomonadati; Pseudomonadota; Gammaproteobacteria; Pseudomonadales; Pseudomonadaceae.
CUCACUAGUCGAGUCGGCCUGCGCGGAAGAUGUAACGGGGCUCAAACCACACACCGAAGCUGCGGGUGUCACGUAAGUGACGCGGUAGAGGAGCGUUCUGUAAGCCUGUGAAGGUGAGUUGAGAAGCUUGCUGGAGGUAUCAGAAGUGCGAAUGCUGACAUGAGUAACGACAAUGGGUGUGAAAAACACCCACGCCGAAAGACCAAGGGUUCCUGCGCAACGUUAAUCGACGCAGGGUUAGUCGGUUCCUAAGGCGAGGCUGAAAAGCGUAGUCGAUGGGAAACAGGUUAAUAUUCCUGUACUUCUGGUUACUGCGAUGGAGGGACGGAGAAGGCUAGGCCAGCUUGGCGUUGGUUGUCCAAGUUUAAGGUGGUAGGCUGAAAUCUUAGGUAAAUCCGGGGUUUCAAGGCCGAGAGCUGAUGACGAGUCGUCUUUUAGAUGACGAAGUGGUUGAUGCCAUGCUUCCAAGAAAAGCUUCUAAGCUUCAGGUAACCAGGAACCGUACCCCAAACCGACACAGGUGGUCGGGUAGAGAAUACCAAGGCGCUUGAGAGAACUCGGGUGAAGGAACUAGGCAAAAUGGCACCGUAACUUCGGGAGAAGGUGCGCCGGCUAGGGUGAAGGAUUUACUCCGUAAGCUCUGGCUGGUCGAAGAUACCAGGCCGCUGCGACUGUUUAUUAAAAACACAGCACUCUGCAAACACGAAAGUGGACGUAUAGGGUGUGACGCCUGCCCGGUGCCGGAAGGUUAAUUGAUGGGGUUAGCGCAAGCGAAGCUCUUGAUCGAAGCCCCGGUAAACGGCGGCCGUAACUAUAACGGUCCUAAGGUAGCGAAAUUCCUUGUCGGGUAAGUUCCGACCUGCACGAAUGGCGUAACGAUGGCGGCGCUGUCUCCACCCGAGACUCAGUGAAAUUGAAAUCGCUGUGAAGAUGCAGUGUAUCCGCGGCUAGACGGAAAGACCCCGUGAACCUUUACUGUAGCUUUGCACUGGACUUUGAGCCUGCUUGUGUAGGAUAGGUGGGAGGCUUUGAAGCGUGGACGCCAGUUCGCGUGGAGCCAUCCUUGAAAUACCACCCUGGCAUGCUUGAGGUUCUAACUCUGGUCCGUGAUCCGGAUCGAGGACAGUGUAUGGUGGGCAGUUUGACUGGGGCGGUCUCCUCCUAAAGAGUAACGGAGGAGUACGAAGGUGCGCUCAGACCGGUCGGAAAUCGGUCGCAGAGUAUAAAGGCAAAAGCGCGCUUGACUGCGAGACAGACACGUCGAGCAGGUACGAAAGUAGGUCUUAGUGAUCCGGUGGUUCUGUAUGGAAGGGCCAUCGCUCAACGGAUAAAAGGUACUCCGGGGAUAACAGGCUGAUACCGCCCAAGAGUUCAUAUCGACGGCGGUGUUUGGCACCUCGAUGUCGGCUCAUCACAUCCUGGGGCUGAAGCCGGUCCCAAGGGUAUGGCUGUUCGCCAUUUAAAGUGGUACGCGAGCUGGGUUUAGAACGUCGUGAGACAGUUCGGUCCCUAUCUGCCGUGGACGUUUGAGAUUUGAGAGGGGCUGCUCCUAGUACGAGAGGACCGGAGUGGACGAACCUCUGGUGUUCCGGUUGUCACGCCAGUGGCAUUGCCGGGUAGCUAUGUUCGGAAAAGAUAACCGCUGAAAGCAUCUAAGCGGGAAACUUGCCUCAAGAUGAGAUCUCACUGGGAACUUGAUUCCCCUGAAGGGCCGUCGAAGACUACGACGUUGAUAGGCUGGGUGUGUAAGCGUUGUGAGGCGUUGAGCUAACCAGUACUAAUUGCCCGUGAGGCUUGACCAU